RNAcentral lists this ribosomal RNA (466 nucleotides) under uncultured bacterium. RNAcentral describes it as "partial 16S ribosomal RNA". It matches the Rfam family "Bacterial small subunit ribosomal RNA", at positions 28 to 507 of the family's 1533-position model. The record is from RNAcentral.
GACGAACGCUGGCGGUGUGCUUAACACAUGCAAGUCGAACGGUAAGGCCCUUUCGGGGGUACACGAGUGGCGAACGGGUGCGUAACACGUGAGUAACCUGCCCUCAUCUCUGGGAUAACAGUCGGAAACGGUUGCUAAUACUGGAUAUGAGCUUGCAAGGCAUCUUGUGGGUUGGAAAGAUUUUUUUGGUUGGGGAUGGACUCGCGGCCUAUCAGCUUGUUGGUGAGGUAGUGGCUCACCAAGGCUUCGACGGGUAGCCGGCCUGAGAGGGCGACCGGCCACAUUGGGACUGAGAUACGGCCCAAACUCCUACGGGAGGCAGCAGUGGGGAAUAUUGCACAAUGGACGGAAGUCUGAUGCAGCAACGCCGCGUGCGGGAUGACGGCCUUCGGGUUGUAAACCGCUUUCAAUUGUGACGAAGCUUUUUGUGACGGUAGCAGUAGAAGAAGCACCGGCUAACUACGUG